UUACUUACCUGGACGGGGUCUAUGACUGAUCAACAAGAGCCAUGGCCUAAGUCAGUGGCCUCCAUUGCACUUGGGAGGAGCAUUGGCUUACCAUCUCCUCAAGUAGGAGAGUGGACGUCAUAAUUUGUGGAAGAGGGGUACGUGUUCGCGCGGUCCUGCC
RNAcentral lists this small nuclear RNA (160 nucleotides) under Setaria italica (foxtail millet). RNAcentral describes it as "snRNA U1". It matches the Rfam family "U1 spliceosomal RNA". From Rfam's summary of the family: U1 is a small nuclear RNA (snRNA) component of the spliceosome (involved in pre-mRNA splicing). Its 5' end forms complementary base pairs with the 5' splice junction, thus defining the 5' donor site of an intron. Lineage: Eukaryota; Viridiplantae; Streptophyta; Magnoliopsida; Poales; Poaceae. The record is from Rfam by way of RNAcentral.